GACGAACGCUGGCGGCGUGCUUAACACAUGCAAGUCGAACGGAAAGGCCCUGCUUUUGUGGGGUGCUCGAGUGGCGAACGGGUGAGUAACACGUGAGUAACCUGCCCUUGACUUUGGGAUAACUUCAGGAAACUGGGGCUAAUACCGGAUAGGAGCUCCUGCUGCAUGGUGGGGGUUGGAAAGUUUCGGCGGUUGGGGAUGGACUCGCGGCUUAUCAGCUUGUUGGUGGGGUAGUGGCUUACCAAGGCUUUGACGGGUAGCCGGCCUGAGAGGGUGACCGGCCACAUUGGGACUGAGAUACGGACCAGACUCCGACGGGAGGCAGCAGUGGGGAAUAUUGCACAAUGGGCGGAAGCCUGAUGCAGCAACGCCGCGUGCGGGAUGAAGGCCUUCGGGUUGUAAACCGCUUUCGCCUGUGACGAAGCGUGAGUGACGGUAAUGGGUAAAGAAGCACCGGCUAACUACGUG
This 468-nucleotide ribosomal RNA is filed under the name uncultured bacterium. RNAcentral's name for it is "partial 16S ribosomal RNA". It matches the Rfam family "Bacterial small subunit ribosomal RNA", at positions 28 to 507 of the family's 1533-position model. The record is from RNAcentral.